AAGUAUAUGCAUAUUUUAUAUGUAGAAACUGCGAACGGCUCAUUAAAACAGUUAUAAUCUACUUGACAUUUUUUCUAUAAGGAUAACUACGGAAAAGCUGUAGCUAAUACUUGCUUUAGCACUCUUGAUUAAGUUCUUGGGUGUGUACUUGUUAAGCCUUUUAAGAAAAAAGUUAUUAACUAAAGGAAUUAUAACAAAGAAGUAACACGUAAUGGAUCCGUCCAUUUUUAGUGUGUAUCAAUCGAGUUUCUGACCUAUCAGCUUUUGAUGUUAGGGUAUUGGCCUAACAUGGCUAUGACGGGUAACGGGGAAUUAGAGUUCGAUUCCGGAGAGGGAGCCUGAGAAAUAGCUACCACAUCUAAGGAAGGCAGCAGGCGCGUAAAUUACCCAAUUCUAAAGAAGAGAGGUAGUGACAAGAAAUAACAAUACAAGGCCAAUCUGGCUUUGUAAUUGGAAUGAUGGGAAUUUAAAACCUUCCCAAAACUCAAUUGGAGGGCAAGUCUGGUGCCAGCAGCCGCGGUAAUUCCAGCUCCAAUAGCGUAUAUUAAAAUUGUUGCAGUUAAAACGCUCGUAGUUGAAUUUCAAAGAAUCGAUAUUUUAAGUAACGCUUUUAGCUUAAUCCACAUAACUGAUACUACGUAUCGACUUUGUGCGCAUUUAGCUAUUACGUGUUCUUUUAAUUAAAAUGAUUCUUUUUAAGGUUUUCAUUUGUUUCGGCAAUUGAAAAUCUUGUUACUUUGAGUAAAUUAGAGUGUUCAAAGCAAACAGAUAUAGCAUUGCGCGUUUGAAUACUACAGCAUGGAAUAACAAAAUUGAACAAGUCAGAAUUUUGUUCUUUUUUCUUAUUUUGGCUUAGUUACGAUUAAUAGGAGUAGCUUGGGGGCAUUUGUAUUCAGAUGUCAGAGGUGAAAUUCUUAGAUUUUCUGGAGACAAACAACUGCGAAAGCAUUUGCCUAAAAUACUUCCAUUAAUCAAGAACGAAAGUUAAGGGAGUGAAGACGAUCAGAUACCGUCGUAAUCUUAACCAUAAACUAUGCCGACUAGGCUUUGGAUGAAAGAUUUUAAAAUAGGAAUUUUUCUCUUCGGAGAUGAAUUCUUAGAUUGCUUCCUUCAGUGCCUUAUGAGAAAUCAAAGUCUUUGGGUUCUGGGGCGAGUAUUCGCGCAAGCGAGAAAGUUAAAAGAAUUGACGGAAGGGCACCACCAGGCGUGGAGCUUGCGGCUUAAUUUGACUCAACACGGGAAAACUCACUAGUUUAAGACAAGAGUAGGAUUGACAGAUUAAUAGCUCUUUCUUGAUUUCUUGGAUGGUGAUGCAUGGCCGUUUUUAGUUCGUGAAUAUGAUUUGUCUGGUUAAUUCCGAUAACGAACGAGAUCUUAACCUGCUAAUUAGCGGCAAAUACGAUAUAUUCUUAUGUGGGAUUGAAUACGGUUGAUUUGCUUAUUUUGAAGAGAAUAUUGGAAUGCGUAAAGUGUUCCUUUCCCUUCUCUACUUAAUUCGCUUAUCAUACUGUUUCUUUUUUGCGUAAGAAUGUAUUUGCUUGAUUGUAAAGCUUCUUAGAGGAACGAUGUGUGUCUAACACAAG
This 1583-nucleotide ribosomal RNA is filed under the name Plasmodium sp. RNAcentral's name for it is "SSU rRNA". It matches the Rfam family "Eukaryotic small subunit ribosomal RNA", at positions 61 to 1439 of the family's 1831-position model. The record is from RNAcentral. Lineage: Eukaryota; Apicomplexa; Aconoidasida; Haemosporida; Plasmodiidae.